RNAcentral lists this ribosomal RNA (488 nucleotides) under uncultured bacterium. RNAcentral describes it as "partial 16S ribosomal RNA". It matches the Rfam family "Bacterial small subunit ribosomal RNA", at positions 28 to 507 of the family's 1533-position model. The record is from RNAcentral.
GACGAACGCUGGCGGCGUGCUUAACACAUGCAAGUCGAACGCGCCUGUCCUCUGGGUUUCUGGGGGGUGGGUGAGUGGCGAACGGGUGAGUAACACGUGAGUAACCUGCCCCCUUCUUCGGGAUAACGGUCUGAAGGGGCUGCUAAUACCGGGUAUUCACUGGUCUCCGCAUGGGGUCUGGUGGAAAGGUUUUUUUCUGGUGGGGGAUGGGCUCGCGGCCUAUCAGCUUGUUGGUGGGGUGAUGGCCCACUAAGGCUUUGACGGGUAGCCGGCCUGAGAGGGUGACCGGUCACAUUGGGACUGAGAUACGGCCCAGACUCCUACGGGAGGCAGCAGUGGGGAAUAUUGCACAAUGGGCGCAAGCCUGAUGCAGCGACGCCGCGUGAGGGAUGGAGGCCUUCGGGUUGUGAACCUCUUUCGCCCGUGGUCAAGCCGCGACGUGGGUCGUGGUGAGGGUAGUGGGUAAAGAAGCGCCGGCUAACUACGUG